Molecule: RNA transcript, 1163 nt
Organism: Protopterus annectens (West African lungfish)
Lineage: Eukaryota; Metazoa; Chordata; Ceratodontiformes; Protopteridae
Gene name: ankyrin repeat domain-containing protein SOWAHB-like
Exons: 4
Source: RefSeq, a predicted model, not a curated record
CCCAGUUUACCUUCAAAAUGUUGAUGGUCACAACGUCGAAACCACUUCUGUGAACUCUGAACUGCACCUUCUCAAAACCUCGAGUGCCGAUAUUCCAAACUACAAAACCGCGCCCCCUUUUUGAUCCAUGUUAGCACUUGUUUGUAAGUGUGGUAUGGUCAGAAAUAUCGACGUUCAAUGUUUUGUCAACUUUCUGAAGUUCGGCGGCGCUGGGAGUGGUUUUGCGGAAGGGUUUUGGCGGUGUGCACAUUCGACUAUGUGCAGUCAACAAUUUAAAGGGAUACACUCCACUGCAUAUUGCAGCUCUUCACGGCCAAGAACAAAUCAUUAAGCUACUGAUCAACACAUACAAUGCCAACCCAGAUAUCAGGGACUAUCAUGGAAAGAAGCCAAUGCAUUACUGGAAAGGAAACAGCAAUAUAUUUCAGCCACAUCCAAAGGAGAUUAUUCCACAGGCACCCGAAGGAAGAAAGCAAAACAAGCGAUCCUACCUUCCAAGCCUUAUUGAAACACUUGCUCCCACAGUAAAAGUCGACCUCAAGUGGAGCUCAUGUCAAGACCAAAAUCAGCCUCGGCAAUGAUUAUUAAAACCCAUUCUCCCUCCUGUGGCCAGAAUUAGUUAUUCUCUUUCCUCUCAUACAAAGAAGCAGAGCAUCAUGGGAGGCCAGGGCAGACAAUUUUCAAAGCACUUUCCAUCAUGCACUGUUUAGGUCAAGCCAACUUGCACUUGUAAGUAAUUUAUAAAGUGCUAUACUCUAAGGUAUCGCACACUCUCAUUAUCAUUAGGUUUUUGCAUAUUUAACUACAAUUUUUAAUUAGAUGGUAUUUUAUUAUUCAUGCACAUAAUUUGACUCCAGCUCAGACUGCUUUCCUGUAAAGAAAAUUCAUUUGAAUCAGAAGUUUGUAUUUUGUGGUCUUUAACUGGCAAGUGAUACAACUCUCCACUCUGUUAAUGGUUCUCUUUUAAUUUAGCUAAUAGCUAUCAUGUUAUGUACCUUUAUAAAUUUGCUAAAUGCCUAGCACUGGGAGUUCUUUCUCUCCCCCCUCUCUGUCUCUCUGCUGUAACUGUAGGUAGUUUGCUCUAUUUGGCUUUCACAGAGAAACUGUUUGCACAUGGUAUGGUUCCUUGAUGUAUUAUUAAAAUUGGUAAUGGACUCUGGGGA